AGCUAACGUCACCUAUAGCACCGUAGUGAUAGCAGGGGUGCCACGUAGAGUGAAUUUUCCUCCUAAUCCGGAAACAAAGCCACGAAACUCCAACUCUUCCUUAUUUUUCAGAAAAAUUAUCCGUCGUUUCUUUGCAACCAAAGACGAUUUGCUUAGUUAAUCGCAGAGAGGUAAGCUCUGUUUUUCCUCUUAAUUGAAUUCAGUUUUGAGCUUGAUUUAAGUGAAAAAUGAAAAACCCUCUGAUUUCAAUUCUUUAGAAAGAAAAGAAACAUCAGAUUCAUAAAGGAAAACAGCAAUAAAAUAUGGUUGAUUCUGAAUUUAUGUUAUCAUAAAAUUAAAUCUGUUUGUGUUGCAGAGGAAGCAAGCGAAAGGCAAACCAAAGGAAUGGGUUAUAUAAUAGUGGUAUCGUUGCCAUUGAUACUGUUUAUACUAAUAUUGGCGCUUGCAUGUUACCUAAUUGGUAGGAAUUCGGGUAGAAGAGAAGCUGCUCGGAUUCCUCAGUAUUAUGGGCCUCCUGCUCCUGCGCCUCCUCCUUCCGUUGAUAAACCAUCUCAGGUUUAGAUUUGCUUUGCUUAAUUUUCCCGCUUCCAAAUCUCAUGUUGCUUCUUUUAUGCUUGUUUGGGGUUUAUCAAGAGCUAAUGAAGAUGAAAACCUUUGUACGCAAUUACGUGUUUUUCUAUUAAUUUUUUCUUUUAUUUUGCAAAAUUCUUGAUGCUAAAGUUAGAAUUAUUAUUAUUAUUUUCAAUAAUCGAUCAACAUCUCAUGAAUCUGCGUUGCAUAUCCUUCGAGUAUCAGUGAAUUUAUAUUGUGUUUGUAUAUUAUACUGUUGUAAUUGAAUUAAACCGAAGAAAUUUGGUUCAAUUAGUAACAUUUCAAAAAUUCCCCUAUUUCUUUUAUAGAUUUUUUUUAUUUGGGAAUCGACGUUACUGAAGCAAUUAAUUUUUAUUAAUUAAUAUGUUAGUUAUAAUUUUAUUAAUAAAAAUAUGCGUAAUUAUUAAUAAAAGAUUAUAUAUAUUUUUUACUAAUAUUCUACUAAUAAUAUAAAAAAGAUAUUAUAUUUUUUGGGUUUUGAUUGGGUACGAUUUUAUACGUCAAUUUUUAUGAAUUUGGUUAGUAUUAAGUCUCUGUUGAUGUAUCCUUCCCAUAAUUUACUAUAUUAGAGUAGGCUUGAAUCUUUGGCUACGAGUCCGUUUCAUUUUGAUUUUAGAUUCAAAUCGAUGGUUAUGGUUUAAACGGGAGGAUUAGGGUCCAUUUUUCAAGGUUGUUUAAUAUCUAAUUUGAUUUUAGUUUUAAAUAAAUUUUAGACUAAAUUAAUUAAUUUUAAUCAAUUAAGUUUUAAUUAGUUGGAGAUUAGUCCACCUAGGGUGCACACUCGAUAAUAUCACUAAUCAUAUAUAUAUAAGCGAAAUUAAUAUUAGUCCCCCACUAAUAUUUAAUACUUGUAUUUUUGGAAAAUAUAUCAUUUACUCGAUCACAUUGAUAUUUGUAUUUUUGUUAAAGAAUAUUAAAACUCUCUUAAAAAUUAAAGGACGAGAAUUUUUAUUAUUUAAUAGAAAAAAGAAAAAAAUAGUGAAAUUAAAAUUUAAGAUUUAAUUAAUGUGUUUUUUUUUAAUAUAGUGAUUAAAUAGUAAUGUUGUGACUCGAUAUAGUUUAGUAGGACUAGAAUGUAAUAGAGCUUCCCUAGCUAGCAAUGAGCAGUUUCAUUAACUUGUUUCUUAAUUCAAUAAAGGGUCCAAUUAGAUUCUUCCUGAAAAAAAGAAGACAGACAAUCUCAAUAAUUAAACUAAACUCAAAUAGAUGUACGCAAGCUUGGGCUUCAUUUUAAUAUUAAUUAUUGAUCUAUUAGUUUGGGAUAACCAGACAACCAGAUGAGUAUUUUGAGGGAUGGAUGUAAAUUCAAGUAAAUUGCUUCUGCAUCAACAAUAGAGAAUUGUGUUGGUUGUAAGAGAUGUGAUAAUAGGAGACUAGUUGAAAGCAGGGACGAACCCUGUUAUGGUUGAUAUAUACACCGUCCUCAAGGUCUCGGAUGACAGCUCCAAAGACUUUCCUUCCUAGUUAAAGAUGGCAAAAUCCAUAUUACACUUUAGAUGAGCUCUUGUUGGUCUAUGCCACCUUUUGUUCACUGUAUGAUGUCCUUCAUCUACUUGUAUUGCUGGAACAUUUGCAUUGAGCCCGUCAUUCAACACUGUAGUUGUAGAUAAGGUGAUGCCAUGUGCAAAACUGCUUUGACUUUGCCUGAGAAACAGAUUUUUUCAAUUCCAGAUAUUUCAUAUCAAAGCACAUGCUUUUCCUAUCUCAUAUUCGUUCUUCAUAGAGAAAAGAUGAUGCAUGAAUGUUGACAAGGAAGUAAAUUGAGGAGACCCUGUAGGGAUACAUAUCUUGGUCCAACAAUUUUGUGCUAGCGGGCAAUACAGAGAGAAAUGCAUGCCAUCUUUCGGAGCAGAACAAAUCAAACGCCUUGAAUCAAUAUCAACUCUUUUUUGCUUGAGAUUUAGUUUAGUGGUUAGAAUGCCUCGCAAGCCUCUUCAUAGGGAGUUCUUAAUUUUUGGAGGGACUUAAACUUUCCAAUUUUUUUUCUUUUAAACCUCAGGACUAAUAUUAGGGAUAUUGUUAUCAAUGGACGGAUAAACAAAUUUAACUGUUUAUUUCUCAUAUUUCAUAAACUUAGAUAUAGAUAUUAUUUCUGUGCUCCAAGCUCAGUGAUAAUACGAAAUACGGCUACAAAUAAUCAUCAUUUAUCAAGUCUAAUACUUUAAAAUCUUCCAAUCCAAUCUAUAAAAGAAGUGUCUAACAAGAAAUUCUUAUUCUCAUCUCUAUUUACUUAGGAUCACCCUACAUUCUAAUAUUAGUAUCAACUCUAACUCUACAUUUUCCUCUUUUAUUAAGGAACUUUGGAUUUGCAAUAAGUUUAUAUAGAUACAUAAAUUGUUUUUAUAUAUUAAAAAAAAGAAAAU
This 2954-nucleotide long non-coding RNA is filed under the name Manihot esculenta (cassava). RNAcentral describes it as "long non-coding RNA (MESC_LNC004331)". Lineage: Eukaryota; Viridiplantae; Streptophyta; Magnoliopsida; Malpighiales; Euphorbiaceae. The record is from RNAcentral.